Molecule: ribosomal RNA, 630 nt
Filed under: uncultured Actinomycetes bacterium
Lineage: Bacteria; Bacillati; Actinomycetota; Actinomycetes
Description: bacterial SSU rRNA
Rfam family: Bacterial small subunit ribosomal RNA
Source: RNAcentral
GCGGCCUAUCAGCUUGUUGGUGGGGUGAUGGCCUGCCAAGGCUUUGACGGGUAGCCGGCCUGAGAGGGUGGGCGGUCACACUGGGACUGAGACACGGCCCAGACUCCUGCGGGAGGCAGCAGUGGGGGAUAUUGCACAAUGGGCGGAAGCCUGAUGCAGCGACGUCGCGUGAGGGAUGGAGGCCUUCGGGUUGUGAACCUCUUUCGCCGGUGAAGAAGGUCCUGCUUUUUGGGUGGGGUUGACGGUAGCCGGGUUAUGAAGCGCCGGCUAACUACGUGCCAGCAGCCGCGGUAAUACGUAGGGCGCGAGCGUUGUCCGGAAUUAUUGGGCGUAAAGGGCUUGUAGGCGGCUGGUCGCGUCUGUCGUGAAAUCCUCUGGCUCAGCUGGGGGCGUGCGGUGGGUACGGGCUGGCUUGAGUGCGGUAGGGGAGGCUGGAACUCCUGGUGUAGCGGUGGAAUGCGCAGAUAUCAGGAGGAACACCGGUGGCGAAGGCGGGUCUCUGGGCCGUUACUGACGCUGAGGAGCGAAAGCGUGGGGAGCGAACAGGAUUAGAUACCCUGGUAGUCCAUGCUGUAAACGUUGGGCACUAGGUGUGGGGGGUCAGUCCGGGCCGUCCGCGCCGUAGCUAAC